This 254-nucleotide ribosomal RNA is filed under the name uncultured bacterium. RNAcentral's name for it is "partial 16S ribosomal RNA". It matches the Rfam family "Bacterial small subunit ribosomal RNA", at positions 524 to 776 of the family's 1533-position model. The record is from RNAcentral.
UACGGGGGGAGCAAGCGUUGUUCGGAUUUACUGGGCGUAAAGGGCGCGUAGGCGGUCGUGACAAGUCACUUGUGAAAUCUCCGGGCUUAACUCAGAGUCUGCAGGCGAAACUGCCGUGCUGGAGUAUGGGAGAGGUGCGUGGAAUUCCCGGUGUAGCGGUGAAAUGCGCAGAUAUCGGGAAGAACACCCGUGGCGAAGGCGGCUCUCUGGGACGGUACUGACGCUGAGACGCGAAAGCGUGGGGAGCGAACAGG